This 561-nucleotide ribosomal RNA is filed under the name Monosporozyma servazzii. RNAcentral's name for it is "Kazachstania servazzii partial large subunit ribosomal RNA". It matches the Rfam family "Eukaryotic large subunit ribosomal RNA", at positions 82 to 658 of the family's 3401-position model. Lineage: Eukaryota; Fungi; Ascomycota; Saccharomycetes; Saccharomycetales; Saccharomycetaceae. The record is from RNAcentral.
AGUACGGCGAGUGAAGCGGCAAAAGCUCAAAUUUGAAAUCUAGUACCUUCGGUGCUCGAGUUGUAAUUUGUAGAGGGAUACUUUGGGGCCGUUCCUUGUCUAUGUUCCUUGGAACAGGACGUCAUAGAGGGUGAGAAUCCCGUGUGGCGAGGAGUGCGGUUCUAUGUAAAGUGCCUUCGAAGAGUCGAGUUGUUUGGGAAUGCAGCUCUAAGUGGGUGGUAAAUUCCAUCUAAAGCUAAAUAUUGGCGAGAGACCGAUAGCGAACAAGUACAGUGAUGGAAAGAUGAAAAGAACUUUGAAAAGAGAGUGAAAAAGUACGUGAAAUUGUUGAAAGGGAAGGGCAUUUGAUCAGACAUGGUGUUUUGCGCCCUCUGCUCCUUGUGGGUGGGGGACUCUCGCAGCUCACUGGGCCAACAUCAGUUUUGGUGGUCGGACAAAUCCGUAGGAAUGUAGCUUACCUCGGUAAGUGUUAUAGCCUGCGGGAAUACGGCCAGCCGGGACUGAGGACUGCGACUUUUGUCAAGGAUGUUGGCAUAAUGGUUAUAUGCCGCCCGUCUUGAA